GAACUGAUUAGAAGCUUGCUUCUAUGACGCUAGCGGCGGACGGGUGAGUAACACGUGGGCAACCUGUCUGUAAGACUGGGAUAACUU
RNAcentral lists this ribosomal RNA (87 nucleotides) under uncultured Bacillus sp. RNAcentral's name for it is "partial 16S ribosomal RNA". The record is from RNAcentral. Lineage: Bacteria; Bacillati; Bacillota; Bacilli; Caryophanales; Bacillaceae.